UACGGAGGGAGCUAGCGUUGUUCGGAAUUACUGGGCGUAAAGGGUGCGUAGGCGGCGCGGUAAGUCGGGUGUGAAAUCUCGGAGCUUAACUCCGAAACUGCAUUCGAUACUGCCGUGCUUGAGGACUGGAGAGGAGACUGGAAUUUACGGUGUAGCGGUGAAAUGCGUAGAUAUCGUAAGGAAGACCAGUGGCGAAGGCGGGUCUCUGGACAGUUCCUGACGCUGAGGCACGAAGGUCAGGGGAGCAAACGGG
RNAcentral lists this ribosomal RNA (253 nucleotides) under uncultured bacterium. RNAcentral describes it as "partial 16S ribosomal RNA". It matches the Rfam family "Bacterial small subunit ribosomal RNA", at positions 524 to 776 of the family's 1533-position model. The record is from RNAcentral.